AGUCGAACGAUGAAACUCUAGCUUGCUAGAGAAGAUUAGUGGCGGACGGGUGAGUAACAUUUAGGAAUCUGCCUAGUAGUGGGGGAUAGCUCGGGGAAACUCGAAUUAAUACCGCAUACGACCUACGGGUGAAAGGGGGCGCAAGCUCUUGCUAUUAGAUGAGCCUAAAUCAGAUUAGCCAGUUGGUGGGGUAAAGGCCCACCAAGGCGACGAUCUGUAACUGGUCUGAGAGGAUGAUCAGUCACACCGGAACUGAGACACGGUCCGGACUCCUACGGGAGGCAACAGUGGGGAAUAUUGGACAAUGGGGGCAACCCUGAUCCAGCCAUGCCGCGUGUGUGAAGAAGGCCUUUUGGUUGUAAAGCACUUUAAGCAGGGAGGAGAGGCUAAUGGUUAAUACCCAUUAGAUUAGACGUUACCUGCAGAAUAAGCACCGGCUAACUCUGUGCCAGCAGCCGCGGUAAUACAGAGGGUGCGAGCGUUAAUCGGAAUUACUGGGCGUAAAGCGAGUGUAGGUGGCUCAUUAAGUCACAUGUGAAAUCCCCGGGCUUAACCUGGGAACUGCAUGUGAUACUGGUGGUGCUAGAAUAUGUGAGAGGGAAGUAGAAUUCCAGGUGUAGCGGUGAAAUGCGUAGAGAUCUGGAGGAAUACCGAUGGCGAAGGCAGCUUCCUGGCAUAAUAUUGAC
This 686-nucleotide ribosomal RNA is filed under the name uncultured bacterium. RNAcentral's name for it is "bacterial SSU rRNA". It matches the Rfam family "Bacterial small subunit ribosomal RNA", at positions 60 to 744 of the family's 1533-position model. The record is from RNAcentral.